This is a non-coding RNA of Phascolarctos cinereus (koala), 1830 nucleotides long. NCBI's taxonomy places the organism in Eukaryota, Metazoa, Chordata, Mammalia, Diprotodontia, Phascolarctidae. The record is from RefSeq and is a predicted model, not a curated record.
UUGUAAUAUUUUCUCCUCAACCUGGGAGCUUUGAAAUUUGGCUAUGAUAUUUCUGUAAGUUUUCAUCCUGGGAUUUCUUUUGGGUAAUGAGCAGUGGAUUUUUUCUAUUUCUACUUUACCUUCUUAUUCUAAAACUUUGGGGUAAUUCUUUUUCUGAUCAUAACUUUCAGGUAGUCCAACAAUUCUCACCUUGUCUCUCCUCAAUCUGUUCUUUAGUUGUUGUUGCUUUUGUUGUUUUUAAUGGGAAUUGUCACUUUAUUGGCAGAAAACAGCAAUAGGAUGAAAUCUGGGGUUUGUGAGCGCCAGACUUGAAUGCCCUGGAUCAGGCAUUUAAGUCAAAGCACAAAACAAGAUAAAUGUGCUUUCUAGAGCUGAGGACCACCAGACUGAAAUCUGCAAAGAUGAUGAACAGAGGCUGCUUGCUGAUAUUCAGCAUCAUUACAACUCAGCUCAUGCCCUUCAAGGAGGCACUGGAGUGUAUGAUGGGAGAGUAUAAGGUAAAUGGGCAAUGCUGCCCCACCUGCCAUCCAGGUUACAGAGUUCAUGAGACAUGCAGUCUAAUGACAGGCACCACAUGUGUGCCUUGCGAUCCCGGGACCUACACAGCACACCGGAGUGGCCUGAAGGACUGUCUCCAGUGUAAAGUCUGUGACCCUGCAUUUGGCUUGGUGACCAGAAGGGAAUGUUCACCUAUAUCCAACACAGUGUGUGGCUGCUCUCCAGGGUAUUUCUGCACCAACAUGAAAGAUGAUGACUGUGAGAUGUGUGUGGCUCACCGAGUCUGCACUCCUGGCCAAUACGUGAAAUCUAGAGGCACAGAGAGAAACAACACCAUCUGUGAAGAGUGCCAGGCAGGGACAUUUUCCCCCAAUGGGACUCUUGACCAGUGUCUGCCAUGGACCAAUUGUACUACCCAGGGUUCAUUUGAAGAAAAGCCAGGCACCAACACCACAGAUGCAUUGUGCUCACCAAAGAGUAAUCUUCAACUCACACUUAUUGGUAUUCUCUUCAUCAUCAUCAUCGCUGUCAUUGCCUUCAUCGCCUUCAUCAUUUUGGUGGUGACGUUAGUUAGAAAAACAACUGAGAAACAGAUACCAUACAACAGUAAAACAGUUGCCAUUUUCAAAGCACCUACUGGCUGGUGGGGAUGGUGGAAUUCACCACGGACAUAGAGAAGUAGACUGUAAGUGCCAGAUACUUACAAGAUCCUGUUUUGGCAGGAGGGAGGAAGAACACAUCAGAAUGAGAGUUCCUCAAAGGCUGAAGCAUCCCACCCUUGAAAAAUCUGUGACUUCCUUGAGGCCAAUGGGUCAGUCACCAACUUGCCUGUGCAGGAAACCACUUAACAAGAAGAAUCGGCUCCACUACGGGAAAUAACAUCCCAGAGUCAAGACAGUGGGGAACUUGACAAUGCUUUUGGGAGCUUUGUCUUGGAAACACCAAGGCCAAGUCAUACUCUCUGUCACUGAGACAAAGCUUAUAUCCCCAGCAAUAGUAUCCAUUACCUGCUUGCACCUUCUCUUAGCUUUGCAGCCAAAAGCAUUCCAGAUGGCAAGUGAUAUCUAAGGCAGGCCAAAAGUUUCACCAGCAACUUCCAGUUCUGACGUCCUGUCCCAGAGCAGAGCAUGGCAGACAGGGCAAUGAAGCCUGACUUCUGAGAGGUUAGAUGAGCUGUGAGUAUGGGCCUGAAAUGAACAGAGUCUGCUUUCCAAGGACCAGCAUGAAGAAGGUGGCUGGCCACCUGGUGCUUUACAGAAGGUUUAUUUCAUAUUUACUUUGCAUAUAUUUAUUUAUUUAUUAGACUUGUUCAGUUGUUCAAUCAUAUCUGAC